AGAGUUUGAUCAUGGCUCAGGACGAACGCUGGCGGCGUGCCUAACACAUGCAAGUCGAGCGGAGCUUAGCGGGCGGAAGCUUCGGCCGAAGCCUGCCGAGCUUAGCGGCGGACGGGUGAGUAACACGUAGGUAACCUACCCACCACACGGGGAUAGCCCUGGGAAACCGGGGGUAAUACCCGAUACCUUUACUGGGCGCAUGCCUGGUAAAGAAAGCGCUUUAGCGGUGGUGGAUGGGCCUGCGGCCCAUCAGCUAGUUGGUGAGGUAACGGCUCACCAAGGCGACGACGGGUAGCCGGCCUGAGAGGGUGGACGGCCACACUGGGACUGGGACACGGCCCAGACUCCUACGGGAGGCAGCAGUGGGGAAUAUUGGGCAAUGGGGGAAACCCUGACCCAGCGACGCCGCGUGGAGGAAGAAGGCCUUCGGGUUGUAAACUCCUGUCACCGGGGACGAAGAGGACGGUACCCGGGGAGGAAGCCCCGGCUAACUACGUGCCAGCAGCCGCGGUAAUACGUAGGGGGCGAGCGUUGUCCGGAAUUACUGGGCGUAAAGGGCGUGUAGGCGGGUCAGCNNGUUGCGGGUAAAAAACCAGGGCUCAACCCUGGGGGUGCCUGCGAAACUGCUGAUCUUGAGGUC
RNAcentral lists this ribosomal RNA (640 nucleotides) under uncultured bacterium. RNAcentral's name for it is "bacterial SSU rRNA". It matches the Rfam family "Bacterial small subunit ribosomal RNA", at positions 8 to 649 of the family's 1533-position model. The record is from RNAcentral.